This 504-nucleotide ribosomal RNA is filed under the name uncultured bacterium. RNAcentral's name for it is "partial 16S ribosomal RNA". It matches the Rfam family "Bacterial small subunit ribosomal RNA", at positions 29 to 523 of the family's 1533-position model. The record is from RNAcentral.
AUUGAACGCUGGCGGCAGGCCUAACACAUGCAAGUCGGACGGUAGCACAGAGAGCUUGCUCUCGGGUGACGAGUGGCGGACGGGUGAGUAAUGUCUGGGGAUCUGCCCGAUAGAGGGGGAUAACCACUGGAAACGGUGGCUAAUACCGCAUAACGUCGCAAGACCAAAGAGGGGGACCUUCGGGCCUCUCACUAUCGGAUGAACCCAGAUGGGAUUAGCUAGUAGGCGGGGUAAUGGCCCACCUAGGCGACGAUCCCUAGCUGGUCUGAGAGGAUGACCAGCCACACUGGAACUGAGACACGGUCCAGACUCCUACGGGAGGCAGCAGUGGGGAAUAUUGCACAAUGGGCGCAAGCCUGAUGCAGCCAUGCCGCGUGUAUGAAGAAGGCCUUCGGGUUGUAAAGUACUUUCAGCGGGGAGGAAGGCGAUGCGGUUAAUAACCGUGUCGAUUGACGUUACCCGCAGAAGAAGCACCGGCUAACUCCGUGCCAGCAGCCGCCGUAA